GAUCACCCUCAUACUUAGCAUACCCCUCGUUAUUGAAGCCAAUCUCUUCACCAGAUUCAUUGGUGCCAAAUCCCCUUGGUUUUCCAAAAUAAAUACCUCCAGUAAGCUCCCUUACAACCAUGACAUCGACACCUUCAGCAACCUCUUUUUUCAAAGUUGAAGCAUCCACUAACUGGGGUAAGACAGUAGCUGGCCUCAAAUUUGCAAAGACCUUAAGCCCUUCUCUGAGCUGAAGCAACCCACUCUCUGGCUUCAAAUGUUUUGCAUUAUUAUCCCAUUUAUACCCUCCAAUGGCUCCGAGAAGAACUGCAUCACAUUGUUUAGCAGCAGAAAGGGUUUCCUCUGGCAAUGGAACACCAACUAAAUCCAAAGCAGAUCCACCCAUAGGCAUCUCUUGGAAACUAAACUCAAUGCCUUCGAGAGAGCCAGCAAGCUUAAGGACAUUCUUGGCGACGGAGAUGACUUCGGGGCCGAUGCCAUCGCCGGGGAGGAGAGUGAUGGAGUAGCGUUUCGAUGGCGUGGCGGCGGCGCAGCUAAUUCUAGCAGGUUUAUGGGAGUGUUUGGAAGCUAGUUUAGAAUGGAAAGCAAGUCUGGUUGGCUUAACAUUAAGUUGCAUUGCAGACGCCAUUUGGGCAGGAGAGAGAGAGCAGAGAGAUUUGGGUAUGGAGGCAGACGAGGAAAAGACUGAUGAAUGAGAGCUGCACUGCUGCAGAACUCA
Molecule: unclassified non-coding RNA, 718 nt
Filed under: Hevea brasiliensis (rubber tree)
Lineage: Eukaryota; Viridiplantae; Streptophyta; Magnoliopsida; Malpighiales; Euphorbiaceae
Source: RNAcentral